GACGUAGGGCGCGAGCGUUGUCCGGAUUUAUUGGGCGUAAAGAGCUCGUAGGCGGCUCGUCGCGUCUGCCGUGAAAACCUGCAGCUUAACUGUGGGCUUGCGGUCGAUACGGGCAUCACUGGAGUUCGGCAGGGGAGACUGGAAUUCCUGGUGUAGCGGUGAAAUGCGCAGAUAUCAGGAGGAACACCGGUGGCGAAGGCGGGUCUCUGGGCCGAUACUGACGCUGAGGAGCGAAAGCCAGGGGAGCAAACGGG
RNAcentral lists this ribosomal RNA (254 nucleotides) under uncultured bacterium. RNAcentral's name for it is "partial 16S ribosomal RNA". It matches the Rfam family "Bacterial small subunit ribosomal RNA", at positions 524 to 776 of the family's 1533-position model. The record is from RNAcentral.